Molecule: long non-coding RNA, 1053 nt
Organism: Dicentrarchus labrax (European seabass)
Lineage: Eukaryota; Metazoa; Chordata; Actinopteri; Moronidae
Exons: 2
Source: RefSeq, a predicted model, not a curated record
CAACGGCAGCCUGUUAUGGCAGCUCCUAUCAUUGUUGUAGUUUUAAUGGGUUUUCAGUGUGUUUUUAGCUAUUUUUAACCGUUUUCUUACUUUCUUACUUUCUUACUACUUUGUUCACGUCGCCUAAAUACUUUUUUGGGCGUUUUUGAGCACUUUUUAUUUUUUGUUUGCACGGGUCUCCAUGGCGACGGGGAGUCGCAUUGUUUACACCUGUGACCAGAUGAUCACCCUGAGGUACCCGAGCAUCCUGACCGGAGAGAGACCCUCCAUACCGGUGGAGCUGAGGAGACGGCGAGGCUGCAGAGUGGGGGUUAAACGGAGGAUGAAGAAGAGGAGCUUUAAACCCUACAAACGUGGCUGUACGAGCAGAUACCGGACUCCAACGUCACCAUUCCCGGCUUCCAGGCGGUUCGAGCCGACAGGGACACCACCGCAACCGGCAUGAAGGAAGGAGGGGGACUGUCCGUGCUCAUAAACAACAGGUGGUGUAACGCCGGUGCUUUGUUGAAGUUUUUUGGCCCACAACAACAACAACAACAACAACAGCAGCAACAGCAGCAGCAACAGCAGACCUCUACACAUCGAAGUAGGAACUUAUUUAGUUUCCUUUUUAAAGUUAAGAUUACAGUGACUUGCUCUCCCAUUUAAAAUAUAUCAUGGGAUCGAUCUGAUUUAAUAUGACAACACAAAUAUUUUUCUUAAUGUUGUAAUGAUAUUCGGAGAUCCUUAGAUAUGGAAGACAUAGUGGCUGCAUUUGCAAAAGCCAAGGCCCGCAAGCAGCAGUUUUAGGGGAAAAAAGGCACUUCUAUUGGACUGUGAAUGUAGGACCAAGGUGUCACAGCAAGUCUUAAGUUCUACCUUUCCACUUUAAUUCCUUGUUUGUUUGUUUUUUUUUUUCUUGGUUGUGUUUUUAUCAUUCUGAAAAAGUUGCACAUUAAAGUUAUGUUUGAUUUUCUGUUAUUUAUAUAUUGUAUGUAAAGUUUGCAUUCAGAUAGUUAUGUUAUUAUUGAUUUUAUUAUGUUAUUGUUUAAUAAAACUGCACACACCAAGGCA